AUUGUAAUGGGAUCUGAAUUGGCUUCACUUUAAUUUUUUGUAUAAUUUGAUUGUUUGUUGGUGAUAUUUGGAGUUAGCAGGAAUGGUUUAAAACUAUUUGUUUGAUUUUCUUACCAUUGAGAAUGUACUUCUUGAGAUGAUAAUUAUGUUGAAUGGUUUAGUACUCAUUUAUUUUUAAACUGUUGACUCAUACAUAUAGAUUGCCUACACGUUUGAAUAAUUUAUAAUCAAUCAAAUAUAAAUUAUUUAAAAUUUUUUGAAAAGAUAUAUCAUUAAUAUUUUUAAUUUUUUUCUAAUUCUUUGCCCGUCGCAUCGCACUGGUUACAACACCAGUAUACAUUAUUUCUCAUAAACUUUUGCUACGUGGCAGCAUCAUAAUCUCUCAUUCUCAAAAUUUCUACUCUUCAAUCAUUGCGACCGCUCUCCUUCCUCAUAACGUCUGCCUCUUUGGCUUUUCAUCUCAUUAAUUUCUUUCCUGUAACGUCUGCCUCUUCAGUUUCCCGUCUUAUUAAUUCCUUCCCCGUAACGUAUGCCUCUUCGGCUUCCUGUCUCAUUAAAUCCUUCUUUGUAAUGUCGUUGU
Molecule: long non-coding RNA, 580 nt
Filed under: Ananas comosus (pineapple)
Lineage: Eukaryota; Viridiplantae; Streptophyta; Magnoliopsida; Poales; Bromeliaceae
Description: long non-coding RNA (ACOM_LNC041843)
Source: RNAcentral